AUGGCACACUUUAUACCAUGUCAUAAAAGCGAUGAUGCUGUUAAUGUUGCUGAUUUGUUCUUUCGUGAAAUUAUUCGCUUGCAUGGUGUGCCAAAUACUAUUGUUUCAGAUCGUGAUACUAAAUUUCUUAGCCACUUUUGGAGAUGGUUAUGGGCUAAGUUGGGGACUAAACUGCUUUUUAGUACUACUUGUCACCCCCAAACUGAUGGACAAACUGAAGUAGUCAAUAGAACGUUGUCUACUAUGCUUAGGGCUGUUUUGAAGAAUAAUAAGAAAAUGUGGGAGGAAUGCUUGCCUCAUAUUGAAUUUGCUUAUAAUCGUUCAUUGCAUUCUACUACUAAGAUGUGCCCUUUUGAAGUUGUGUAUGGUUUCCUACCUCGUGCACCUAUUGAUUUGUUGCCUCUUCCAUCUUCGGAGAAGGUUAAUUUUGAUGCUAAACAACGUGCUGAAUUGAUUUUAAAAAUGCAUGAGUUAACUAAGGAAAACAUUGAGCGAAUGAAUGCUAAAUAUAAACUUGCUGGAGAUAAGGGUAGAAAACAUGUUGUGUUUGCACCUGGAGAUCUUGUUUGGUUACAUUUGCGUAAGGAUAGAUUUCCUGAUUUGCGCAAAUCAAAGUUAAUGCCACGUGCUGAUGGUCCCUUUAAGGUGUUAGAGAAAAUAAAUGAUAAUGCAUAUAAACUUGAGCUGCCUGCAGAUUUUGGGGUUAGUCCCACUUUUAACAUUGCAGAUUUGAAGCCUUAUUUGGGUGAGGAAGAUGAACUUCCGUCGACGACGACUUUAUUUCAAGAAGGGGAGGAUGAUGAGGACAUCAAUACAAUUGUUACACCCACAGCCCCUGCUGCUAUAAAUACUGGACCAAUUACUAGAGCUCGUGCACGCCAACUAAAUUACCAGGUACUUUCGUUUCUUGGUAAUGAUUCUAAUGUUCAUGAGAAUAUGAUGCUGCCUAAAUUGGAUACAUUUGUUUUGCUUACAAAUUAA
RNAcentral lists this ribosomal RNA (981 nucleotides) under Triticum aestivum (bread wheat). Its description in RNAcentral is "partial small subunit ribosomal RNA". The record is from RNAcentral. Lineage: Eukaryota; Viridiplantae; Streptophyta; Magnoliopsida; Poales; Poaceae.